UACGUAGGCAGCAAGCGUUGUUCGGAAUUACUGGGCGUAAAGAGUGUGUAGGCGGUUCCCUAAGUUCGGUGUGAAAUCUCCCGGCUCAACUGGGAGGGUGCGCCGGAAACUGGGGGGCCUGAGUAUGGGAGAGGAAGGCAGAAUUCCUGGUGUAGCGGUGAAAUGCGUAGAUAUCAGGAGGAACACCUGCGGUGUAGACAGCUUUCUGGACCAUCACUGACGCUGAGACACGAAAGCGUGGGUAG
This 245-nucleotide ribosomal RNA is filed under the name uncultured bacterium. RNAcentral describes it as "partial 16S ribosomal RNA". It matches the Rfam family "Bacterial small subunit ribosomal RNA", at positions 524 to 768 of the family's 1533-position model. The record is from RNAcentral.